This 203-nucleotide long non-coding RNA is filed under the name Homo sapiens (human). RNAcentral describes it as "non-protein coding lnc-LRRC75A-5:1". The record is from RNAcentral. Lineage: Eukaryota; Metazoa; Chordata; Mammalia; Primates; Hominidae.
AAAGAGAAAUCGUAUGAAUGUGAAGAAUGUGGGAAAGAGUUUAGGCAUAUCUCAUCCCUUAUUGCACAUCAGAGAAUGCACACUGGAGAAAAACCAUAUGAAUGCCACCAGUGUGGUAAAGCCUUCAGCCAGCGUGCACACCUUACUAUACAUCAGAGAAUUCAUACUGGAGAGAAACCCUAUAAGUGUGAUGACUGUGGGAA